GGGCGCUUAGCUCAGCGGGAGAGCACUGCCUUCACACGGCAGGGGCCACUGGUUCGAUCCCAGUAGCGCCCACCA
Molecule: transfer RNA, 75 nt
Filed under: Geobacteraceae bacterium GWB2_52_12
Lineage: Bacteria; Pseudomonadati; Thermodesulfobacteriota; Desulfuromonadia; Geobacterales; Geobacteraceae
Also listed under: 2 other names
Description: tRNA-Val
Rfam family: tRNA
About the family: Transfer RNA (tRNA) molecules are approximately 80 nucleotides in length. Their secondary structure includes four short double-helical elements and three loops (D, anti-codon, and T loops).
Source: RNAcentral